AUUGAACGCUGGCGGCAUGCUUUACACAUGCAGGUCGAACGGUAACAGGUUAAGCUGACGAGUGGCGAACGGGUGAGUAAUGCAUCGGAACGUGCCCGGUCGUGGGGGAUAACGCAGCGAAAGCUGCGCUAAUACCGCAUACGAUCUAAGGAUGAAAGCGGGGGACCGUAAGGCCUCGCGCGAUCGGAGCGGCCGAUGUCAGAUUAGGUAGUUGGUGGGGUAAAGGCUCACCAAGCCAACGAUCUGUAGCUGGUCUGAGAGGACGACCAGCCACACUGGGACUGAGACACGGCCCAGACUCCUACGGGAGGCAGCAGUGGGGAAUUUUGGACAAUGGGCGAAAGCCUGAUCCAGCAAUGCCGCGUGCAGGAAGAAGGCCUUCGGGUUGUAAACUGCUUUUGUACGGAGCGAAAAGGUCUCCUCUAAUACAGGGGGCUCAUGACGGUACCGUAAGAAUAAGCACCGGCUAACUACGUGCCAGCCGCCGCAGUAA
This 493-nucleotide ribosomal RNA is filed under the name uncultured bacterium. RNAcentral's name for it is "partial 16S ribosomal RNA". It matches the Rfam family "Bacterial small subunit ribosomal RNA", at positions 30 to 523 of the family's 1533-position model. The record is from RNAcentral.